RNAcentral lists this long non-coding RNA (1395 nucleotides) under Phasianus colchicus (ring-necked pheasant). RNAcentral's name for it is "lncRNA (ENSPCLG00000016448.1)". Lineage: Eukaryota; Metazoa; Chordata; Aves; Galliformes; Phasianidae. The record is from RNAcentral.
AUGGAGGAGCUUCGUGCCGGCACCCACAGCACGCGGUCCCCGGGCUGCCGGUGGCACGGCAGGAUGCUCCACUCCCCACCUCCCAUCGCCCCUCAGCUACGGCAUCUGCCUAUAAUCUGCCUAAGGAUACGAGGACCCUGCAGAGGGUUCUGGACCGGCCGAUCGAUGGCUGAUGCCAACGGCACGAGGUUCAACGCCACCAAAUGCCGGGUCCCGCACUUCGGUCACAACGACCGCAGGCAUCGCCGCGGGCAGCCGGGCUGGGGCCACCGGAACGCGCGCGGUGAUGACGCAAUGACGACGCGACCGCGGGCGGAAAGGACCCCGCGCGGAGCGCCCAUCCCGUUCCGCAGGACGACCAAUGACAGCGCGGCGGAGGCGGGGCCGAGCGCGGGCUCUCCGCCAAUGGCAACUGCGGCCGCGGGGCCGCCGCGAUGGCGCCGGAGCACUAGCGGAGCCGCAGGGCUCCGUGCGGGGAAAGCAGUGCUCCGCUGCCCCGCGUCCCCGCCGCCGCCGGCCCCGUGCCUCGGGGACGCCGGGCGGUCAGGGGAAGGCGGCGCGGGGGCCCGUUCGUCCCCCGUCGGCACCGAGCCGUCCUCCGGAGUCGCCGUUCGGACGGGAGCCGGUUGGGAACGCGGUCAUUUCUCUGUUUGUUGCUAUGUGCGUUCAUUGAAUAAAUGUUCAAUGUUCGUUUCGUCUGCCCGCGGUCAUUUCUGCAGCUCCAGUAACCCACCCCGUCCCCGUGCCAACCGCUGGGUAAGGACGGGACGGCGCAAACGGCCGUGUCGUAGGACUGCGACCGCCGGCCCCGUUUCUCCCCCCCAGAUCCCCUCCCCUCUUCAGCACCGAGUGGGAAAUGGCUUGGGUGGGAUUCUGAGAGAGCUGGAGCGGCUCCACCUGCAGAAGAGGAGGCUCGGGGGGAUCCCGGGCACGGCCAUCAGUCCCUGCAGGGAAGUGCAGAGAGGUCGGAGCCAGGUUGCACCCGGCGGUGCCCAACAGCAGGACCGGAGGCUCACGCUGCAGCACAGCAGGUUUCCCCGCAGAGCUGUCACCGCCGCGCUGCUUCCCCCUGCUUGCACUAGGAGGCUGCACAGCCCGUGCAGACAGUGCACACCCAGAGGUGCCCGUCCCAUGCAGCACGUCCAGCAGCUGGGGGAUGUUGAGGUGGUUGCAGUGAGCCAAGAGCUGCAGCUCCUCCAGCUCAGGUUUCCUUGUAUGUCACCACUGAACCCCCAGCUCGGGUCAGCGCCGUUGGAUAUUUUUGCCAGUGAUCACGAUGCAGGAGAUGAGUGCAUCCUUGUGAAAUCCAGCGUGCGUGCUAAAGGACGAGGUGCUGCUGGCACUCCUGAGGUUUUUAAGGGGCAGCAGAGAAAACUGGAGGGCUCAGGGCAGUAA